Gallus gallus (chicken) is the source of this 516-nucleotide long non-coding RNA. The record is from Ensembl. NCBI's taxonomy places the organism in Eukaryota, Metazoa, Chordata, Aves, Galliformes, Phasianidae.
GGCAAGGUUUGAGGAAAGACAGCAGCAACAGUUCAUGCCCAGUAUAACGGUGUAAAGCAGGUCCAUAUCUGAAAAGAAUUUUCAUGGCAAUAAGAUGUACAUAGAUGCACUGAGUAACCAGUAGUCCUGUGACUCACUUUUCCGUUUCUGAAGUACUUCCUUACUUAUGUUUCUACAUGGUUGUGGAGAUGUUAAUAGCAAUGGAGGUUGAGAACUGCUUGAAUAUUAGAAAAUGAGACUUCUCUGUGUACCACUGAUGUAUUUCUAAUGCCAAAGUUGCUGCUACUUAGGAAUCCUUUCUUGUCUCAUAUCUCUUGCAGGUUGGCUCUUCACAGAAGCCAGUACUUGCCAUUGGUUAAAGUUGCUGUGACACAGUGUAAAACAGCCAGACACCAAGACAGAAUGAAGUUGUGAAAUCCACCUGAAAGGCUGAGACCCUGGGGACCUUGCACCGUGGCAAUAUUGGCAUGCAGAGACAGGACAGACCUCCUUCUUAUAUCCUCCUCAAUAUGGGAC